This 1475-nucleotide long non-coding RNA is filed under the name Homo sapiens (human). RNAcentral describes it as "HSALNT0082545". The record is from RNAcentral. Lineage: Eukaryota; Metazoa; Chordata; Mammalia; Primates; Hominidae.
AUCACUUCCGCUGAAAGUUUGCAUCUCCCAGUAUCAGUGUUGGGGAAGCCAAAUGAAAUCUAUCAAUCCCAGUUCAGAAUGUAAAGAAACUGAAGAUCCUCUUUCCCCAUAUGGAUUAUUAUAUCAUCAUAGCAUUUGGAGAAGCCAAGAUCAACAAAAAAGCAGUUAGCAGAAUUGUACAUGGCGAUCAUCAGCAGUAUGAAGAGGAGCUGUGGGGCCAGUGAGAGAAGCUGCAGCCUGUUGAGACUCCACAAGACUGAAGAUAUGAAAAGAGGAAAUAUGCAUGAAUGCCCGCACGGAGAACCACCCCCACCUGCUGCUCCCGCUCUAAUGAUCACGCCCAUUAUCAACUGGGGGAUGGCUCUGUGCCUUGUCCUUGCAUUACAUGGACCAAGAACACUUCACAGGACUCAGAGAGGCAAAAAUAGAUACAAAAGAAGAAGGAAUUACAGAAGAAGUCACAUAACAUUAUUGCCUACAACUGACUGUUUACCUUGAAUACUUGAAGACCAGAAUGAAGAUUCUUGGGGUGAAGAAUUACAGCCUUAGCAUGGAGCAGGCCUCGGUGCAUCGGCUUUCAGCUAGGCAUGCCUGCCAAUGUUCAACGUCCUCCUGGGAUACGGAAGGCACCGUGAUAGACAUCUGGGCAAGUCAACAGGAAGGUGGAUAUCCAAAUCUCUCUCUUCGCAAUGAGUUUCCAGUUAGAUGGAGGAGAGAGUAAUAAAACACAGAGCUGAGAUUCCUGACUUCACAGAUCCCUGAGGAGAUGUUUACUAAAGGGAAUCUUCUGGUCACUGUUACCUUCCUCCGUACUUACCUGCCUCAUGGAUAACACUGAAGAAUGCAGUUUACUUACAUCUUUUUCUGUUUGACAGAAGACAGUUAUUAGUUACCCUUGGGACAUCAAAAUGACCAAGGCAGUGUCUGCUAAGUAUUUGCUGAGACUCUGCUAUGAUUCUUUCAAGUCUAAAGACAGUUAUCUGAAUGAUAUCCCCGUGACAGUGGACUCCUGCACAUUCACAGUCCUGGAAGGAGCCUGUCCACAUUGGCAUUCUGGAAGUCCAUAAAAGACAAACGCAUAUGCAGUCCCCGAGAAAGCAUUGUUGUAAACAAAUCUGCACUAGAUGGAAACUCUGUUAUGUGGUGCCGGCAUGCAUGGAAGAGAACCCGAAAGGAAGAAGCUAUACGACUGGGGACACAUGUCUUAGAAGCACACUCAUUAGAUAAAGUGUCGCAUACUCUUUGAUAAGACAACCCUUACAAGAUUUUUGCCCAGCGAAAGUGGCACGUGGAACAUGGAAUGACAUUUCAUAAAGAUAAAUCCAGAGAUUAGUGCUGAAGACUACACCCCUGUGUAGUCCCACACAGGCUACCCCAGACCAGCCUGGCGGGCUCUGCACUAGGCCUCCCAUCAGGCGAGAGCCAACGCUCCUCAGCCCGGCUCCACCUCAUUCAGAAGAAAGUGUGUCUCCCGG